UUCCGAUUGGCAUUCCGGGAGAUGAUUGCCUAUUAGGGCACCGCGACGGUUGUCACGGGCUCGAGGGGAGUUCCGGGUCGUAAGAAGAAGCAACAUCAAGAGCAACAUGAAAAGUAACAUUGAGAGCAACAUGAGGAGAAGCAACAUCAAGAGUAGCAUGAGAAGCAGGCGAAGCAGCAUAAAGAGUAACAGGAGGAAAAUCAAGCACCUCUGCAACAUUAAGAGCCUUAAUAGUAGAGAAUUGGGCAUAGACCUCCUCGUUCGUGGUGCGACUCCGCUUAACACCGUGUCUUUCCAUACUUUUCUGUUUGCAAUCCAUUAUCUUCUUUCUUUGGUAGGGAUCGAAUUCUGACCAACCCUCCAACUUUCAUAAUGGAACGAUUGCUACCCCUCAGAGAUAUUGACAUCAAUGUCGGCCUAAUAUGUCAUCAACAUCUCUUUCGCAAUUGGUUCCAAAGUUCCAACUGCACGCAAUUGUACCAAAACAUACAUUGCCAUUAGGUUGAACCUUAGCUACCUUAUGACAAAAAAAUAAAAUUAAAUAAAAUAAAAACAAUAUGGUUUCUUUACUCACCUU
RNAcentral lists this long non-coding RNA (577 nucleotides) under Theobroma cacao (cacao). RNAcentral describes it as "long non-coding RNA (TCAC_LNC006031)". Lineage: Eukaryota; Viridiplantae; Streptophyta; Magnoliopsida; Malvales; Malvaceae. The record is from RNAcentral.